Thalassophryne amazonica is the source of this 213-nucleotide long non-coding RNA. RefSeq lists it as uncharacterized. The transcript has 3 exons. Lineage: Eukaryota; Metazoa; Chordata; Actinopteri; Batrachoidiformes; Batrachoididae. The record is from RefSeq and is a predicted model, not a curated record.
ACUGAUUGGAUUGUUGAUGCAUGUAAUUGUAUUUCAGGGGUUGUUUUGUGCAUGUUAAUGCAGACUUGAUUCCUUGUUUAGAUUUGAUUCAGAUUUGAUGCGUUUUCGGAGGCUGUAUGUGAUAUAUGUUUAUAUGUCUUGUUCUGACAUGAGGCAAGUAGGCGCACAGGCUUGUAAUAAUGGAUGUUUUGAGUAAGUUCUCGCUCUCAGGCA